This is an RNA transcript of Triticum dicoccoides, 2806 nucleotides long. RefSeq lists it as uncharacterized. The record is from RefSeq and is a predicted model, not a curated record. The transcript is spliced from 8 exons. NCBI's taxonomy places the organism in Eukaryota, Viridiplantae, Streptophyta, Magnoliopsida, Poales, Poaceae.
GCGCGCUGCACGGCGUCUCAUCUCAAGUCGGGCAGGUCCCCAACCCCCCACCGCACAAACCCUAGCCUCCCAAGCCCGCAGCGCCGCCCUCCUCACUCCUCCUCCAUCUUUCCUCGUCGGCCGCCGCCGCCAUUCUGCUUCGCUCCUCUCUGUCCGAUGGCCACGCCAGUGGGAGGAAGCCGCCGCACAAGAGGACAGGAGACGCCCGUUGGCGAGCUUCCGGGCAGGAAGCCGACGGGGAGCACGCCAUCAACGAGCCCCCGGGGAGGAGCUAUCGGUUGGUCCUGGGUCGUCCACCAAAGGCCGCCGGUUGCACCGUCGUGAGAGGAGCAGCAGGGGAGGAGAUGAGGAUAUGCCGCCGGCGCCGGACUCCCUCUUCCCUGGCUGCAUCUUCCCCACUGAUUGUACUUCAUGGUGCUUGCACGUCCAAGGACAAUUUAUUCCAGUGCCCGGUUCAUUGUCCGUCUCAACCAAACCUCACAUGGUGGUGCGAAUUUAUGCUAGGAAUAAAUGUUCCAGGGUUGGAGAAGAGGGGGUUGAGCAGCAGCUGAGCUUAGGUACAGAGCUAAUGUUCAGUUCAUUGUCUCAGGCAUGGAUUUACAGAUUCAAAAUUUUCUUAUACACUUGCUCGGCGCACACCAGCUAGGCAGGCCAGGGGAUGAAGGUACAAUGCAGUGAGUGCAGCAGCGGUAGUGGGGAAACCCCUCCUGGCCGAGCCUCAUCCCUAGCCUCUACCUGCAGAGGAGAACCCCAGGAAAGCUAAAAGUUUGUGGAGGAGCGCCGACACAGAGGGUAUUUCAGACUCAAGAUUGAUCUGGUAGUGCACGUGGUGUGGUGUGCCAUAAGCAAGAAUAUCUUAUCUGUGCCAUGACAAUAAGGGCUUGCUGCAGCCAGGCAGUUCUUGGGAGUAUGGUGCUUCGAUUUGGUUCCUGUGGUGGUAUCUUCCCUCCCUUCUCCCUCCGUCUAUUUCUUACUUAUGCUUUGAUGCUUUGAUAUGUUGUAUUGGCUUAAAUUAUGUACUUGGUUGAGUCCUACUUGCUUAUUGAGAUGAAUCGUUUACAAAGUUAUAGUGUUAUUUUCAGAAUUUGUAGUGACACUGUUACCUUCAGAAUUUGAGAUGAACCAUUUCCAGAGCGUAUAUGGAGAGCCUAGAAGCAGCAGGGGUUCGCGGAGCAGCAGAUGCGGUCAAUGGAGUAGCAGGAUCAAGGAGCUCAAGAUGGUUCAGGAAGAGUGCCUACAGAGAUUACAUAACUGGAUAGAGGUGCCUUAUGAUAGUAUAGCUAAAGAACAACAUGUAUGAGUAGACUGCCACCUAUGUGUUUCAUUUUUAUUUGUUGUGAUAUUUCACACACCCCAUAUUGGCACCCCCUCUAUAUUCCCACUCUUAUAGACUUGCAGAAACACAUGCUGCUUGUCUCUAUUUAUCUUGGUCUUUACAUUAUAAAUUAAAACAUAGCUGGAAAGAAUUAUGGGUCCUUUUGGCAUGAAGCUCGAGAAUGAUAAUACCACCUCAAGUGGGGAUAAAGCAGAACAAGAAAUAGAUGAGAUGUAGUUACUGAAACUAGAAAAAAAUACUCUUCUGAUUAUGCAUAUGUAAAGUCAUGAUUAUGUGUGGACCAGAUGUGUGCUCUUUUCCAUUGCAUACGAGAUUGUCGGUUAAAAAAGUUUUUUGUCUUCCAGCAAUGAGCUUUCAUUUUCAUUGUGGAGGUUUGUUCGGUUCAUCUCCUCUGGUUAUUUUUUUCAGUUUGUCUCUUCAGAAGUUUGGGUGCCUCUGUUUUGCUAAUUUUUAGUUCUCAUCAUUAAGGUUUGUAUCUUUCCUCCCCUCUCGGAUUGUUGCAUCCUUAUUGUGUCUCAUCGUUAAGGUGGCACAUACAAGUAUUAAUUUGUUUAGUUCUGCUAAAGUACCGCUGAAAAUUCAAAUUCUAUAUACUUCACUUUUGGCUAUACAGGAGAAUACAGUACACACAUUUGAUUAGUGAUUAAAUGUGAAGAGCAUUGUGCAUGUUUUUCUGAAUGUGGAUUAAUCAAAUUUUAUUGCUUUAUGGUGAGAUGAAUAUGUUGAUUAUAAUGAUAUAAUGUUAAGAGAUUUUCAAGUGUAAGCUUGUAGCAAAUUAUCUUCUAAUCCAGACUCCAUAUCAUUAUUUAUAUUGUAACACAAAUGUGUUCUAUUAUACUCCCAGCCUUGGUACAUGAAGGCAUGAUAUUACCCCUCUCCCCCUGCCCCUUCUAUGUAUUUUUGAUUUGUUUGUGUGACUAUUGAAUGGUGCUUGCAGGUCCAUGGACAUUGCCAAAAUUUUCACUUUAUUGCAGUGUCGUAUUUUCAGAUCUCAUGUUCCUCAAGGCUUGCUCUCACUGCUGCUCUAGACAGGGAACGUUGAUGAUAACAUACAGGGCCUCUCAGUCUUUAACCCCGACUAUAAAAAUCCAUUGAUGGAAGCCGGGGAGGGCCGAGAUGAACAUCCGGCUCCUAGGUCUAAGCCAUCGAGAUGAUAGAGACGACGUUUCCAUGCCAUCUACUCCAGCAGCCGGACAAGGCAUAUAAAAACCAUGGAUCCUUGCUCCCCAGGCCGCAAAUUGAUCGCAGUGAUGUCUACGACCUCCUCCUAGAUGUAUUAAUCUCAAUCUCAUGUUUGGUUUUCUUCCCUUUUCUCUUCUAAUGAUGUAAUUUCUUUUACUAAGAUAACACCAUGUUUGUUGUAAUGCCUUAUUUGAUGUAAGAUCCCUUUUCUACUUUGAAUGAAUUUACUGCAUAUAUUUCUUAUUUAGUUUAGUUCAUCAUUCAGAGACGAUGGAAUAUUUUUGUACU